UACGGAGGGUGCAAGCGUUAUCCGGAUUCACUGGGUUUAAAGGGUGCGUAGGCGGUCGGGUAAGUCUGACGUGAAAUCUCCGGGCCUAACCCGGAAACUGCGUUGGAAACUGCCUGGCUAGAGGAAUGGAGGGGAGACUGGAAUACUUGGUGUAGCAGUGAAAUGCGUAGAUAUCAAGUGGAACACCAGUGGCGAAGGCGAGUCUCUGGACAUUUCCUGACGCUGAGGCACGAAAGCCAGGGGAGCAAACGGG
This 253-nucleotide ribosomal RNA is filed under the name uncultured bacterium. RNAcentral describes it as "partial 16S ribosomal RNA". It matches the Rfam family "Bacterial small subunit ribosomal RNA", at positions 524 to 776 of the family's 1533-position model. The record is from RNAcentral.